RNAcentral lists this ribosomal RNA (490 nucleotides) under uncultured bacterium. RNAcentral's name for it is "partial 16S ribosomal RNA". It matches the Rfam family "Bacterial small subunit ribosomal RNA", at positions 30 to 507 of the family's 1533-position model. The record is from RNAcentral.
AUUGAACGCUGGCGGCAGGCCUAACACAUGCAAGUCGAACGGUAACAGGAUGCAGCUUGCUUCUUUGCUGACGAGUGGCGGACGGGUGAGUAGUGUCUGGGAAACUGCCUGAUGGAGGGGGAUAACUACUGGCAACGGUAGCUAAUACCGCAUAACGUCGCAAGACCAAAGAGGGGGACCUACGGGCCUCUUGCCAUCGGAUGUGCCCAGAUGGGAUUAGCUAGUAGGUGGGGUAACGGUUCACCUAGGCGACGAUCCCGACCUGGUCUGAGAGGAUGACCAGCCACACGGGAACUGAGCCACGGUCCAGACUCCUACGGGAGGCAGCAGUGGGGAAUAUUGGACAAUGGGCGCAAGCAUGAUGCAGCCAUGCCGCGUGUAUGAAGAAGGCCUUCGGGUUGUAAAGUACUUUCAGCGGGGGGGAAGGGAGUAAAGUUGAUACCUUUGGUCAUUGACGGUACCCGCAGAAGAAGCACCGGCUAACUACGUG